ACGAACGCUGGCGGCGUGCUUAACACAUGCAAGUCGAACGGAAAGGCCUGCUUUCCCUUGUGGAUUGCGGGUACUCGAGUGGCGAACGGGGGAGUAACACGUGAGUGAUCUGCCCCCAAAUUUGGUAUAAACCUGGGAAACUGGGUCUAAUUCCCGAUAGGACUGCAGGGUGGUGCCUGUGGUGGAAAACGAUUUUCUAGUGGUUGGGGAUGAGCUCGCGGCCUAUCAGCUUGUUGGGGGGGUAAUGACCUACCAAGGCGGCGACGGGUAGCCGGCCUGAGAGGGGGGACGGCCACAUUGGGACUGAGAUACGGCCCAGACUCCUACGGGAGGCAGCAGUGGGGAAUAUUGCACAACGGGCGGAAGCCUGAUGCAGCGACGCCGCGUGGGGGAUGACGGCCUUCGGGUUGUAAACUCCUUUCGACCGCGAGGAAGCCACCUGGUUGGAAGGGUGGUGACGGUAGUGGUAGAAGAAGCACCGGCUAACUACGUG
This 493-nucleotide ribosomal RNA is filed under the name uncultured bacterium. Its description in RNAcentral is "partial 16S ribosomal RNA". It matches the Rfam family "Bacterial small subunit ribosomal RNA", at positions 29 to 507 of the family's 1533-position model. The record is from RNAcentral.